RNAcentral lists this ribosomal RNA (327 nucleotides) under uncultured eukaryote. RNAcentral describes it as "partial 18S ribosomal RNA". It matches the Rfam family "Eukaryotic small subunit ribosomal RNA", at positions 1470 to 1796 of the family's 1831-position model. The record is from RNAcentral.
CCCUUAGAUGUUCUGGGCCGCACGCGCGCUACACUGACUAGUUCAACGAGUUCCACCUAGGCUGAGAAGCCCCGGUAAUCUUUUAAACGCUAGUCGUGAUGGGGAUAGAUUAUUGCAAUUAUUAAUCUUCAACGAGGAAUUCCUAGUAAACGCAAGUCAUCAGCUUGCAUUGAUUACGUCCCUGCCCUUUGUACACACCGCCCGUCGCACCUACCGAUUGAAUGGUCCGGUGAAAUCUCUGGACCGCGGCUUUGUCUGGUUUCGGUCAGACGCUGUUGCGGGAAGUUGAUUAAACCUUACCAUUUAGAGGAAGGUGAAGUCGUAACA